This 484-nucleotide ribosomal RNA is filed under the name uncultured bacterium. Its description in RNAcentral is "partial 16S ribosomal RNA". It matches the Rfam family "Bacterial small subunit ribosomal RNA", at positions 30 to 507 of the family's 1533-position model. The record is from RNAcentral.
AUUGAACGCUGGCGGCAGGCCUAACACAUGCAAGUCGAGCGGAUGAAGGGAGCUUGCUCCUCGAUUCAGCGGCGGACGGGUGGGUAAUGCCUAGGAAUCUGCCUGGUAGUGGGGGAUAACGUCCGGAAACGGGCGCUAAUACCGCAUACGUCCUGCGGGAGAAAGUGGGGGACCUUCGGACCUUGCGCUAUCAGAUGAGCCUAGGUCGGAUUAGCUAGUUGGUGGGGUAAAGGCCUACCAAGGCGACGAUCCGUAACUGGUCUGAGAGGAUGAUCAGUCACACUGGAACUGAGACACGGUCCAGACUCCUACGGGAGGCAGCAGUGGGGAAUAUUGGACAAUGGGCGAAAGCCUGAUCCAGCCAUGCCGCGUGUGUGAAGAAGGUCUUCGGAUUGUAAAGCACUUUAAGUUGGGAGGAAGGGCAGUAAGUUAAUACCUUGCUGUUUUGACGUUACCAACAGAAUAAGCACCGGCUAACUUCGUG